This 66-nucleotide transfer RNA is filed under the name Ictidomys tridecemlineatus (thirteen-lined ground squirrel). Its description in RNAcentral is "Spermophilus tridecemlineatus (thirteen-lined ground squirrel) tRNA". It matches the Rfam family "tRNA". Rfam says of the family: Transfer RNA (tRNA) molecules are approximately 80 nucleotides in length. Their secondary structure includes four short double-helical elements and three loops (D, anti-codon, and T loops). Further hydrogen bonds mediate the characteristic L-shaped molecular structure. tRNAs have two regions of fundamental functional importance: the anti-codon, which is responsible for specific mRNA codon recognition, and the 3' end, to which the tRNAs corresponding amino acid is attached (by aminoacyl-tRNA synthetases). tRNAs cope with the degeneracy of the genetic code in two manners: having more than one tRNA (with a specific anti-codon) for a particular amino acid; and 'wobble' base-pairing, i.e. permitting non-standard base-pairing at the 3rd anti-codon position. The record is from Rfam by way of RNAcentral. Lineage: Eukaryota; Metazoa; Chordata; Mammalia; Rodentia; Sciuridae. RNAcentral also lists the same sequence under 1 other name.
GGUAUGGCUCAGUGGUAGAGCACUUGCUUAGCAUGCAUGAGGCCCUGGGUUUGAUCCCAGAGACCA